Molecule: ribosomal RNA, 37 nt
Filed under: Apiotrichum loubieri
Lineage: Eukaryota; Fungi; Basidiomycota; Tremellomycetes; Trichosporonales; Trichosporonaceae
Also listed under: 3 other names
Description: partial 28S ribosomal RNA
Source: RNAcentral
UGGCCUCAAAUCAGGUAGGACUACCCGCUGAACUUAA